CAUUGAGUCAGUCAAAAAUGACCCCAUAUUGAUCUGGUUUCUACUCUUUUGGCUAAAAUCCACAGUUUAAUACCAUUUGGAAAUGGUAUUACUUUGGGAAAGUUACUGCCUUCAUUCAUAAUUACCUUAAUUAUCAGUUAUUCUUUGAGAAUGUUGGAACAUGGAUAUUGGCUGACAAUUAUAUGACUUAAUCUCGCAUUGAACAUUGUCCAGAUGUAAUAUGGUGAUGCAUGGAGUCACUUCUUUACAUUUGGGUUGAAUUUGAACUAACGACAUUCUUUCAACAAGAAAAGACUUUAAUGAUCAAUUUUCUGGAAUAAUUCAGAUUCUGAUAACUCAGUUGAUGUAUUCUAUUCUUCAAAAAUCUCAACAUAUAAGGCUUUAAUAUCAGAAUAAAAACUACUCUAUGGACACACUCUGAUAAGAUACAGCACCUGAGGAGGAAAUAGAUUAGUAGCGUCAAAGAAGCCUCUACCGUUUCCUUGGAGAAAAAUCUACCUUUGUCACUCAAUGAACUUAGGUUUAUGAUAAAGACUGGAUGAUAUUUUCCAUGAAGAAAUUCUCCCAUAGGUUCAUGGGUUAUGUGGAGAUCUCAUCUUAUGUCUUAUAAUUAUGCAAAUGUCAAGAAGACUUUAUUAGAAGGUAAAUUAAAGUUUGAAGAUGGUCAAAAAUGAAAAAAGAACCCAGAAAAAGUAAUAUCUUCAAAACCGCUGAUUUGCAUGUUUUGGCGAGGAGAUUUCUUUUUUUAACA
This is a long non-coding RNA of Talpa occidentalis (Iberian mole), 751 nucleotides long. RefSeq lists it as uncharacterized. NCBI's taxonomy places the organism in Eukaryota, Metazoa, Chordata, Mammalia, Eulipotyphla, Talpidae. The record is from RefSeq and is a predicted model, not a curated record. The transcript has 6 exons.